RNAcentral lists this long non-coding RNA (1823 nucleotides) under Piliocolobus tephrosceles (Ugandan red Colobus). Its description in RNAcentral is "lncRNA (ENSPTEG00000016112.1)". Lineage: Eukaryota; Metazoa; Chordata; Mammalia; Primates; Cercopithecidae. The record is from RNAcentral.
GUAAGUUCAAAAUUUAAUUAAGUUCAAAAUUUAAGUAAGUUCAAAAUAUAAGAAAAUUCAAAAUAUAAGAAAGUUCAAAAAUAAAAUAAUUUCAAAAUUUAAGUAAGUUCGAAAUUUAAGUAAGUACGAAAUUUAAGUACGAAAUUUAGGUUCGCUAAUACUAUAAUAUGCAUUAUAUUUUUUCUAUUUUUUUAAAAAUAAUGCUUAGUUUAUAGUAAAAAUAAUUUUUUUAAAUAUUUACAAAAAAAACAACUUCCAUAGUAGAAACAUGUUUCUAGUCACUUUUCUAAUGAUAUAAAAAAUAUUUUUUUUCUACGUUAAUACAUUUAUUAUAUAGCAUUUUUUUUUUUUGUUGUUCUAAAUUAUUCAUUUAUUUGUUUUUUUAUCAUGAAGUAUUAUUUUUUAUACGCAUUGUUUUAUUAAGCACCUUUUUUUUAUUGUUUAGAUUGUGAGUACUUUUUUUUUUUUUUUAUGAUAACUUUUUAUUUCAUUAUUUCAAAAUUUAAAAAUAUAAUUGUUUUAUUGUUUAAUGAUAAAAAGAAUUUAAUUAUAUUACUAUAAAAUAUAUAUUACUAAAAAUAUUCAAGUUAAAAAUAUAAAUAAAAAAAAAAUUAAAUAAUAUAGAAUAAUAUAUAAUUAUAUAAAAAAGAAAAUCUAUUUGUAACAUAUAAAAGACUAAUGAAAAAUAUGCAGUAAUAUCAUUAUUACUUAGUAAUUGCUAAUAAAAAAAAUGUUUACAACAAUUUAUAAAAUAAUUCUUGUUUUAUUUUUUGUAUGGGCAUGGACCAAUAAUAGUAAAGAUCACUUAGAAAAUAUAUUUAGCACACAGUAUGGUAGAUCACUGGCUGAACCUGAUAUUUUACAUAACGAGGAGAAUGCUCAAUCUAAUGUAGUAGAUUAUAACCAAAGUUCUGAAUAUAUUAAAAAUGAAGAAAAUUCUACAAAUAAAAGCGAUGAAGAAACCUUGCAAAUUGAUAAAUAUAACGAUAAAAAUUCAAUGUAUUUAUCCAAUAUGAAGCAAGAAUUAAUUAAAUUAUUAUCGGACCAAAAUGAUUCCAAAAUAACAAAUAUAUUGCAAAAUAAUUCAAACAUACAAAAAACAGAUUUACUACAUAUAUAUGAUCUUAUUAAACAUUUUAUUUCUGGUGAGAAAUAUUUACAAAUUAUAAAUAAAAGUUGUGAAUUAGCAACUAAAAAACAAUUUAAUCGUAAUACAAAUGCUGAAAAAUAUUACAACUCACUAUUAUACUUAUUGAAUACAUAUUUCUAUCUUGCUGAGAAUGAAAUAAAUUUUAAAAGACUGUCUAUGAAAUUACGUAAUGAUGGUUAUGAACGACCCAAAUUUAAAUCAAGUAAUUAUUUUAAUAUAUCUAAACUUUACAAAAGAAUAAAUAAACAAUUUAAAAUUAUGUUACUUAAACAAAUGAUAAAACAGGAAUUAGAUCCAACUGUUCAAUUGACUUAUAAAAAACGUUUUGAGCUACUUAGUUAUGGAUUUUUUUACCCACUAUCACUAUUCGUAAUUUCAAUUUUUACCUUACCAGUCUGGUCAAUUGGUCUUACGUUUACACUAAUAGGGAUGCUUCUUUACAUAUGUGUACAUUCUAAUUAUAAAAUAAUCAGAGAUGUACAUUUUGUAAAGCAAAUUAUGAAAAAAUCAAAACUAUUAGAUCAAAAAUAUUUGAAUUAAUUUGUACCUCAAAUUAUAACACAAAAAAAUAGUUACAAAAAAAACAAACAUUAUUGUUUUUCAUUUGAAUAUGUUGUUUUUUUUAUAUUUAUUUAUUCAUUUAUUUAUUUAUCUUUUUUUUUUUUUAUGUCCC